AGAAGUUCCCACAAAGUCUGUUGACAGAGAAAGGUAUCUUGCAAACGGGAGCCAUCAUCUAACUGCAGUGCAAUCCGAACCGUGUUUCCAAUUCCCACUCUAUUACAAGAGACUGGCACCAUCUCCAGCUUGGCAUUGUUGGGCAGUCUGGCAAAUCUCCACUGUAAAGUGAGAUCCAACACAUUUCUCUGAAACUUCAGGCCGUACUCAGCGGGACUGCCGCCCUGCUUCCUGCAGACCUCCUCGAGAACCUGGAGCAGCACCGUGCCGGGCCCCACCCGCACCGUGACCCGCCGCCCGCUGGGGGCCAACACCGACACCGCCGCACCCCCCCCGCCCGCCGCCGCCAUCUUCCCUCCCGGGGAGGAGCCGCGCUGCGCCCGCCCCGCCCCGCCUCCCGCGGCCGCCGGUACGAGCGGGGCCUGCAGCGGGCUGCGGGGUGUUUGUCAGCCGAGAGAACGGGCUCGUAGGGAGCUCCCCGGGCAGAGCACGGCUCCGGGCUCGCCCCGCUCUGCGCCCGGCGGCACCGCCAUCCCCGCGGUGUGCGGCUCCGAGCCGACGCUCCCAGCGGCUGCCCGUGUGACAGCACGGAAAAGACGACGCUACGCCCGAACCUCCUCUGCCCCGCGAUCAGCGCUGCGAGCUCGUCCGUUCACAUGAGGUGUGCGCCGGGAGGAGCGGAGGGAGCCAGGAUCCGUCACAUCGUGUGCCCUCAGAGCGGACCGGAGCCUCCCUUCGCUCCCAGCACCGCCUCUGCUGCGCUGAACGCGUUCCCGAAGAGUCAGCCGUGGACGGUGCUUUGGUUGCUCCUGUCGUUAAGAAGGGGAGCCUGGGUUAGCCACUGGAAUCCCUUCAGCUGAAGCUUUUCCCCGCUGCCUCCAUCCAGCUCUGUCCUGCCCGGUUUGUAAAAGAAAAAGGCCCUUUUAAGGGAAGGCUGGUGUUAAAGAUAACGCUCGGUCUUCUUAAGCACAGCAAAGAAGGGAAGAAACGAGGCAGUGGGAAGGUGGUGAUGCAGACGUCCUCUGGCUGCCGAGCACAGCUCCCCAUAACCAACACCAGGACUGCUCUAUGGGAUGUGGUGACAGCAGUGAAGGAUGUUGCAUUGUACAACACAUUGUUUACACCAAUACUCAAAAAUGUCUUUAAUUCAUGGUUUCUGUUCUUUCUGUUGUGUUGGGAAGGGCCACUGUCACACCACUGCCUACAAAUGGGGCAACAAACACCACAACGUGCUUGUGUAUCAAAUCAAGGGACCCUGCCCUGACACUGGUGAACACCUUCACAGGAGGUAUGAAGAAGCAAUUAAAAUGGCUCUGUUAAUGACAGCUGCUGAGGUGGAGCAACCGUUGAGGUUUUAAAAGAUACAUUUUGGUUUUCAUGGAGCCUGAAAGUAGUUUCUGGAUGGGGGGUGGCUCUUGUUUGAUGCCAGGAAAAGGCAGCUGAUUGCUAUUUCGCAUCUGAAAGUGACACAACCUGUAGAGAAAAGUUGCUCCUGUUAAGAAAGAAAAAGACCACGGAUGUAAUUUCAGCUGAAAAUCUUCACGCUGCAGGAAAGGAGACGGACGUAGCUUUUAAUGGCAAGUCAGAGUCAGAAAGCUGCAUGGAGGUUAAGGGUCACAUUACGUAUCCAGAGCCACUUCUAAUCUUAAAUAUCCAUCUGAAAUUAGAAGCACCAGGAGAGAAAGGGGGGGGGGGGGGGGGAAAUAAACCUGGAGCUCAUUAAAGUGCAACAAAGAAAGAGGGACUCGUCAGGAAACAGCUGAAAAUAUCUUUAACAAUCCAGACUUCUGCCACUGUCAGGGUGAAGGUGCCUGCAAUGCUGCAGGUGAGCACAGCAAAAGAACACCCACUGCACUACAGAGUGCUAAGAAGCUGCUUUUCGUCAGCGAUUACAGUGAAGAAAGCGUAGAAGAAUCACAGAACGGCCUGGGUUGGGUUGGAAGGGAGCUCAAGGGUUAUCAAGCUGCAACCCCCUGCCACAGUCCUUCCCUGAAGUCACCUGUCGGGCAGCCAGCAGUGCUUGGCAUGAAGUAUGUAUUCCUGGAGCUGUGUGUGUUUGCGUUCAGUCACACACCCACGUGGAAUAAUGCAGAACUUUUACUGCUUGAAAACACACACACACACCACACAAAUACCCGACAACCUUUUUAUUUUCUUUCAAAUGGGUAAGAAAUUAACUGUGAACACCUGGAAACACCUUGUAACCAAAAUGUCAUGCAGAACAACAGUCGCUUAUCUCAGUAAGGAGGAUUUCUGUACAGCAUUUCCUCCUGCUGAGUCCCGGGGCUCCCA
Molecule: long non-coding RNA, 2292 nt
Filed under: Gallus gallus (chicken)
Lineage: Eukaryota; Metazoa; Chordata; Aves; Galliformes; Phasianidae
Source: RNAcentral